Planctomycetes bacterium RBG_16_64_12 is the source of this 141-nucleotide non-coding RNA. The record is from Rfam. NCBI's taxonomy places the organism in Bacteria, Pseudomonadati, Planctomycetota.
CAGCGGGUGCAAACCCCGCCCGGUAACUGGUCGCUCCAACCGGUAGCACCUGGAGCGGUUCAAGGAGGUAACGAAUUGGACUGAAGCACUCCCGGAAAAGGCUCCCUUGGGGAGUCAGCAAACACGCAGGCCAUAACGUGA